CAUAUCGGAACGUGCCCAGUAAUGGGGGAUAGCUCGGCGAAAGCCGGAUUAAUACCGCAUAUUUCCUGAGGGAGAAAGCGGGGGACCUUCGGGCCUCGCGCUACUGGAGCGGCUGAUGUCGGAUUAGCUAGUUGGUGGGGUAAAGGCCUACCAAGGCGACGAUCCGUAGCUGGUCUGAGAGGAUGAUCAGCCACACUGGGACUGAGACACGGCCCAGACUCCUACGGGAGGCAGCAGUGGGGAAUUUUGGACAAUGGGCGAAAGCCUGAUCCAGCCAUGCCGCGUGAGUGAAGAAGGCCUUCGGGUUGUAAAGCUCUUUCAGGUGGAAAGAAAUCACUACCCCGAAUACGGGUGGUGGAUGACGGUACCAUCAGAAGAAGCACCGGCUAACUACGUG
RNAcentral lists this ribosomal RNA (397 nucleotides) under uncultured beta proteobacterium. RNAcentral describes it as "bacterial SSU rRNA". It matches the Rfam family "Bacterial small subunit ribosomal RNA", at positions 114 to 507 of the family's 1533-position model. The record is from RNAcentral. Lineage: Bacteria; Pseudomonadati; Pseudomonadota; Betaproteobacteria.